RNAcentral lists this long non-coding RNA (5757 nucleotides) under Citrus maxima (pomelo). Its description in RNAcentral is "long non-coding RNA (CMAX_LNC002030)". Lineage: Eukaryota; Viridiplantae; Streptophyta; Magnoliopsida; Sapindales; Rutaceae. The record is from RNAcentral.
AGAAAAGUCAUAUCAUUUUCAUUAAGGGUGGGCAAAAUAUUCGACCCGAUAAAAAAAAAUCGGGUUCGGAUCAAAUCGAAUUAAAGGCUAUAUCUGAUCGGAUGCAAUAUUGCCAACCCGAUCAGAUUGUGAUCGGAUCAGGUUUCAUCCGAUCCAAUCUGAAAACUCGAUCGGAUUGGCUAAAAAAAAAAAGUGAAACACACACACACAUAAAUCACAAUUCAAAUAGACACACCCUACAUCAUCCACACAUGUACACUAUACAGCACAUACCACACCACCCACACAACAGUUGCAGCCUUCCUCACUGGCUCACCUUCAACCUUAAGUCAACACUCAACACUUAACAGCAGAGCUAAACACACACACACUAACACGGCCGACAGUACCCAACGACAGCUACGACCUCCUCCAUCAACUUAUCAUGUCACUUUCAAGAAGACAAGAAAGAAAAAAUAGUGACACACAAAUCACAAUUCACACAAACACACACCACAUCGUCCACACAUGUGUACACUAUACAGCACACGCCACACCACCUAAACAGCAGCUGCAACCUCCUUCACUGGCUCACCCUCAACUUCAAGUCAGCACUCAACACUUAACAGCAGAGCAAAACACACACAUUCACACAUCCGACAGUACCCAACCACAGCCACGACCUCCUCCCUUAACUUUUCAUCUCACUCCCAAGAAGACAAGAAAGAAGAAACAGUGACACACACAGACACAGCAAGAAAGCGGUAGCCAACCACCAAACGCAACAACCCAACCAGAUCUACUACCACCACCUACCGAAUCUGCUGAUCCAUGCCUCCACCAUCACCAAGCUCCUCCUUCAAGCUCCAUCUGAACCCUGCAAACGGCAACCCGAAUUUCUGUUUUGAAGCUUUGAGUUCGAGCCUUCGAUUAUGGUGUUAACAUAAAUAUGUUAAUAAUAUUGAUUUUGAUGAUAACAAAUUUUAAAUGAUUUUUGAUAAAAGUAUUGGAGCUAUUUCUUAAUAAACGAGAGCCUUAGUAAUCAUUCCAUUCAUGCUUCAUAAAAGAUGGACUUUAAAAUUAGAAAAAGAUUCUCUGCAAAAACUGGUUUAAAAUGCAAUUCUGGUUAUAAACGGUUCACCGUUUAUUUAAACGGUUAACCGAUAACAGCCAGAGAGCAACGUAUUUCUUAAACCUCUAACCGUUUAUGAAAAACGGAAAACACAAAAGAUGGGAAGGUUACUGGAACUUAACGGUGAACCGUUUAUUUUAAACGGUUAACCGAUUAGAACCAGAGAGCAACAUAUUACCUAAGCUCUAACCGUUUAUGCUUAACGGAAAACACCCAAGAUGGGAAGGCUACUGGAACCUAACGGUGAACCGUUUAUUUUAAACGGUUAACCGAUAACGUCCAGAAUUGAAGGUUGUCCUCCUCUGGCACUGAUUAACGAAAACUGAUAAGGCUAAAUUGUUUUGCAGGUUACUGGAGACAAACGGCGAACCGUUUAUAUCAAACGGUUAACCGAUAAUUUCCAGAGAAGCCACUUCACGCAAGUCCUUAACCGUUUAGCGUAAACGGAUAACAAAUACUCAUUUUGCAAGUCUCUGGAAGUUAACGGCGAAAGGGCAACCCUAAACGGAAAACCGUUUAUUUGAAAUCUGGCCCAACGGUAACUUUGACCAGCCUAAACGGUUAACCGUUUAUGGUUAACGGCGAACCGUUUUCUGUCCGACAGUUUGUAACGGCUAGAUUUUCGGCUCCAAAUAUAAAUAAGCUCAUUCAAAUUCAAAGAAGAUUGAUCACAACACGACCAUUUGAGCUAAUAUUCGAGAAUACAAUCUUCAUAGAGCUUAGAACAUAUUCUUGCUUCAUCUAUUCACAUAUUAAGCAUCAUUGCGUAAUCUUAUAUAUUGUGAGAGGCAAAACAAUUUAUAAUCUUUGAUUUUGAGUGAUUGUAAGUGUUGGGAUACACUUGGGUUAAGAGAUUGGGGAUAAUCUCUUGUUGUAAAGGUUCAUUGACACCUUGGAAGUCAAGUGUAAGCAUUUGAAGCCUUGGAGGCUUGCUUAGUGGAAUCCUCAAGCCCGGAAAGCUUGGAGGCGUGGACGUAGGCGAGGUUGGCCGAACCACGUAAAAAUCUCGGUGUUUGAAUCCCUCUUCCCUUAUCUUUUUAUAUUGUGAUUCUCUUAAUUGUUAUUGCUUUGAAUUUGAUUUAUAAUUGCAUUAAGAUUUUCUUUAAUAAAUUGAAUAAUUUUUUAGAAUCCCAAUUCACCCCCCCUCUUGGGUUGCAUUCUUGUAUUUCAUAUGGUAUAUACCACCGCCAUUUGAUAAUUAUAUUGUGUAUUGUGUAAUAUAUAUUAUAUGUUAUUAUAUUAAAUUGUUAAUUAGUAAUUAUUAUAUUUCACCCAACCUGAAUUGACCUGAACUAAAUUCGAACCUAUCUAAUCUGAAUUUGAUUCGAACCGAACUCAACCCAAUUUCUUGGUCUGACUGGAUCGAGUUAAUUAGUAAUUAAUUCAAAUUGGAUUAGAUUGAAAUACUAACUAGGCAACCCAAGAGGGGAGGUGAAUUGAGAUUUUAAAAUUUAAGCUAAGCAAACCACACAACAAUUUAAUCUAUUGCCUUAAUCAAAUUGAAAACAAUAAAUUCAAUCAUGCACAAUAUUAAAAGAGUAAGGGAAGAGAAAACGAACACAAUGAUUUUUACGUGGUUCGGCAAUCCCCGCCUACGUCCACGCCUCCAAGCUCACCGGGCUUGAGGAUUUCACUAAGUUAGCCUCCCAAGGCUUCAAACGCUUACAAUUGACUUCCAAGGUGUCAAUGGACCUUUACAACAAGAGAUUAUCCCCAAUCUCUUAACCCAAGUGUAUCCCAACACUUACAAUCUUUUAACUUGAUUUUACAAAAAAGAUUACAAAUGAAUCUCUCUCACACAAUGUGUUUGAUCACAAGUGAAAGCUCAAUGUGUGAAUGAAUGAGAUGAAUACAAAGAUUUAAAGCUCAAUGAAAGUUGUAUUCUCAAUAUUUUGCUCAAUGAUGAUCGUUGGAAUUCAUUCUUGUUUGAAUUAGAUUGAGCUUAUUUAUAGUUGGAGCUGAAAAACUAGCCGUUAUAGACUGUCUGCUCGAAAACGGUUCGCCGUUAACCAUUAACGGUUAACCGUUUAGGCCGGUCAAAGUUACUGUUGGGCCAAUUUUCAAAUAAACGGUUAGCCGUUUAGGCUUACCCUUUCGCCGUUAAUUUCCAGAGACCUGUAAAACAAAUUUGGUUUAACCGUUCUUACUAAACGGUUCAAGGUUAGCAAUCUGGAAAUAAUCGGUUAACCGUUUUCAGUAAACGGUUCACCGUUAGUUUCCAGAAUCAUCAUUUUAACAAUACUUUGCAGAACAUGCUUUCUGGAAAUUAUCGGUUAGCCGUUUUAAAUAAACGGUUAGCUGUUUUAAAUAAACGGUUAGCCGUUUGCUACAGUGAAAAUAUUUUCUAAAUUUACAGUUUGACCCUAAAACUUUAUAAAACUGUAUUACGGCCCAAAACGUUAUGAAACUUUGCACAUAAGUCCAAUUUCAGAAUUUCUAAGUAAUGUUUUGUUAAUCCCAAAACUUUCUGAAAUUAUGGUAUAGCCCAAAAUACUAUGACACUUUUCAAAUAAGUCAUUUACCAAGAUUUCAAGCAAUACAUGUUUAUUUCAAAGUUUUCAAAAUUCUUUCAAUUAAACCAUAAACUUUGAAAAGCAACCAAUUUCAUAAAAUCAUUUUUCCAUUAAAUAUGAAACAUUUAUAAUGUGAAAAUAAUGAUUUAUUUAAAAAGAAUAAAAACAAUCAAUUUCAUAAAAUCAUUUUUCCAUUAAAUAUAAAACAUUUAUAAUGUGAAAAUAAUGAUUUAUUUAAAAAGAAUAUUAAAUAAUUUGAGCUUAAAAGAUUAAUCAUUCUUAAUCUUGUUUGUUAUCAUCAAAAUCAAUAUUAUGGAAACAUAUAUGUUAACAUAGAUUGUGUUAUAUGUUCAGAUUGAGUUCAAAUGAAUUUUAAUCCAACUCGACCAACCCAAAACUUGAUCCAGUUGAUCCGAUCUCAAUUUAGCCCAGUUCUACUUCUCAUGGAGAACAUUUUUAUUAAUAAUAAUUAAAGAAUGAUACAAGUAUAGUUUAAAUGCACUUUUAUACUUAAAUCCAAAAUAAUGCAAAUUUAUUAAAAUAAGUUAACUUAAGUGAUUUUACAUAAUACAAUUUUCUUACUUCAAGAAAUUUAAAAACAACUUCCCAAGAGAAUAGAGAAAUCCAUCAAAUUUUUUGAAUAUUAUAAAUGAAUUCAAGCACUAAAUAACAGAAUUUACCAACAAGUCUAUUAAGAUUUCUGUUUCUCUUAACGAGAGCUUUGGAACGACAUACUAUAUGUCUAAAUAUGAUAUUAUUUGUCUCAUCUAAACUCGUCAAAAGAUAUCUUGUUUACUUAAUUACACUUUGAAGGUAAAAUGGUCAUUUUAUAUUAAUUCCCUUAAAGAUUAUAAUAUUUCUAAUAGUAAAAUAAAUGAGCUAUACACUUUGUAAAUUUUGUUGGGCAGCUAAAUAGAUUAAAAGUUUUUGUCUGAGGGCACAGAUGAGUCCCAACCCUUAUGUUGGGACUUUAAUUUAUCUUCUCAAUUACAUAACUAAUAGAAAUAGACAUCUCCAUAUAAGUUUAUUGGAAUUUUCUAAAUCAAGUAUAUUAUAAUACAAUUCAGAUUUUUAUCCUCAAUAAUAUUUGAGGGAUAUAAGUGUUAAAAAAAACUUAUAUUUUAACUGUGAUUAAAAAAAUAAAAAAAGACAUGGCUAGAGAGAGAUCUAGUAAAUGUAAACAGGUUCUAUUUGGUAUUUAACUAAUUUAUUUUUUAAGUUACAAUAGAUGUAAAAAAAAAGGUUAUACCUAUAAAAUAAAAGUUAAUAAUGUAAAAUAAAUAUAAAUUUUAAAAAAAUAAUUUUGACAAAAAUAACGGUUAACUUUGGAAUGCCUCUUAUUUUUGUUAAGAAAACAAAAGAAAUUUCAUUAACCUACCCCAUUUUUUUCCUUAUCUUUUGAACAAAAAUAAGAGUAACUGGAGAUUUUCAAAAGUGAAGAGAGUUGCUUGAAAAUUGUUAAUUUAUAACUGGAGUAAUCUAAAAUUUAGCCUAAAAAUAAUAAAUAUAUUAUAAUUUUUUAAAUCACCUUAACCUCUUAGGUAUAAUACUAAUAGAAAGUGCUUAUUGAAUACUUUAAUAUUGUAAAAUAAAAAUUAAAUCUAUUUAACCUCAAUACAAAAUAGGAUCUAAAAAUUUUGUCUUUCAUUUUAGAGCAACUUUUAUUUUCUCUCUCUACGUUUAAUGUCCACUUAUCUUCAAAAUUAUCAUUUCAUUAUGCUUUUACAGUUCUUUCUUUUGAUUUACUUUUUUUUUUUUUCGAAAAGACAUCAUAAGAUACUAAGAUGAGGCAAAUUUGGCAUAUUUUGUAAUAUCUACGGGAAAAAAAGGCAUAUUCUGUGCCAAAUAUAGAAGAAAUACCAUUGCAGCACGGCCAGGUUGGUUGGUAGGUGAUUAUCGAGUCUGAGACGUCCACUGCUAGUGCCGGUGCUAGUUAAAUCCCUAAAAUACCCUUGCAGCAGCUACUCACGUUUGCGUCUAUCCCCAUGUACGGAUUAACCCAGCGGCAAGCAUCUGCCGCCUAAGGACUCUGCCCAUGCUCUACUAAAUGACAAAAAAAGGGUAGAAAACCGAAAAAUCGGAAAUAAAAAAUAAAAGAACAUGGCACACCCCCAUGUCAAAUGCGCAGUCCCA